GACGAACGCUGGCGGCAUGCUUAACACAUGCAAGUCGAACGGUAACAGGCCCUUCGGGGUGCUGACGAGUGGCGGACGGGUGAGUAACGCUUAGGAAUCUACCUAGUAGUGGGGGAUAACCCGGGGAAACUCGGGCUAAUACCGCGUACGCCCUACGGGGGGAAAGCGGGGGACUUUCGGGCCUCGCGCUAUUAGAUGAGCCUAAGUCCGAUUAGCUAGUUGGUAGGGUAAUGGCCUACCAAGGCGACGAUCGGUAGCNGGUUCUGAGAGGACGACCAGCCACACUGGGACUGAGACACGGCCCA
Molecule: ribosomal RNA, 305 nt
Filed under: uncultured bacterium
Lineage: Bacteria
Description: bacterial SSU rRNA
Rfam family: Bacterial small subunit ribosomal RNA
Source: RNAcentral